CAUUGACCUCGGAUCAGGUAGGGAUACCCGCUGAACUUAAGCAUAUCAAUAAGCGGAGGAAAAGAAACCAACCGGGAUUGCCUCAGUAACGGCGAGUGAAGCGGCAAUAGCUCAAAUUUGAAAUCUGGCCCUUUCGGGGUUCGAGUUGUAAUUUAUAGAGAGCGUUUCGGGUACGACCACGGUCUAAGUCCGUUGGAACAUGGUGUCAUAGAGGGUGAGAAUCCCGUAUGUGACCGUGGAUCGAGCCCACGUGAAGCCUCUUCGACGAGUCGAGUUGUUUGGGAAUGCAGCUCAAAAUGGGUGGUAAAUUCCAUCUAAAGCUAAAUAAUGGCUGGAGACCGAUAGCGCACAAGUAGAGUGAUCGAAAGAUGAAAAGCACUUUGGAAAGAGAGUUAAACAGUACGUGAAAUUGUUGAAAGGGAAGCGCUUGCAACCAGACCUGUCCGUAGGCGAUCAGCCGCUGUUCUCAGCGGUGCACUCGCCCUACGAUCAGGCCAGCAUCGGUUCCGACGGUUGGACAAAGGCCUGGGGAAUGUAGCUCCCCUCGGGGAGUGUUAUAGCCCUGGGUGUAAUGCGGCCAGCCGGGACCCGAGGACCGCGCUUCGGCCAGGAUGCUGGCGUAAUGG
This 626-nucleotide ribosomal RNA is filed under the name Cornicularia normoerica. Its description in RNAcentral is "LSU rRNA". It matches the Rfam family "Eukaryotic large subunit ribosomal RNA", at positions 1 to 637 of the family's 3401-position model. The record is from RNAcentral. Lineage: Eukaryota; Fungi; Ascomycota; Lecanoromycetes; Lecanorales; Parmeliaceae.